UACAGAGACCUCAAGCGUUAUCCGGAUUUAUUGGGCGUAAAGCGUCCGCAGGUGGCAUGGUAAGUCAUUGGUCAAAUCUUCGGGCUCAACCCGGAAACCGCCGAUGAUACUGCCGUGCUUGAGGAUGGGAGAGGCGAGCGGAAUUGCUGGUGUAGUAGUAAAAUGCGUUAAUAUCAGCAAGAACACCAAAGGCGAAAGCAACUCGCUGGAACAUUCCUGACACUCAUGGACGAAAGCGUGGGGAGCGAAUGGG
This 253-nucleotide ribosomal RNA is filed under the name uncultured bacterium. RNAcentral describes it as "partial 16S ribosomal RNA". It matches the Rfam family "Bacterial small subunit ribosomal RNA", at positions 524 to 776 of the family's 1533-position model. The record is from RNAcentral.